RNAcentral lists this unclassified non-coding RNA (1799 nucleotides) under Hevea brasiliensis (rubber tree). The record is from RNAcentral. Lineage: Eukaryota; Viridiplantae; Streptophyta; Magnoliopsida; Malpighiales; Euphorbiaceae.
CUCAGAAAUUAGGGUCAAUCUCCUCGUAUACGCACUUUGUUUAAGCAACCCCUGCGGCAAGCAAACAGUCAGAUAAUAGUGGAAUGGUGGAGCGGUGGCAACUGUAACCCGUUUGUCGAGCAAUGAGUUCCUCCCUUCUUCCUGAAUCGGAUAUAAAUUCACUCGUGUGAAUUCUAUUUGUACCCGAUAAAACAUUCCACGCGUUAUUCAACCAUUUUUUUUAAUCUCACACGGUUGACAAACAAACCCUCUCAUUUUCAUAAAGUCACCCUAACCCUCUCUAGCCAAACUUCAUAACCCCCUCUGAGAGAAUCAUUUUCUCAUCUUUUUAAUUAACAAUUCAGGCGUAUGACAGCUGAUUUAAGACACUAGUGGCUGUGCUUUUGGGCUUCGGUCGGAAAUUUUCACAAACACCAGUAAAAUGCACGCCAAGACGGAUUCCGAAGUCACCAGUCUAGCACCAUCGUCUCCCACCAGAUCUCCACGCCGCCCGGUCUAUUAUGUACAGAGCCCAUCACGGGACUCUCACGAUGGGGAGAAAACGACGAUGUCUUUCCAUUCCACGCCGGUGCUUAGCCCUGCGGGAUCUCCACCUCAUUCUCACUCCUCUGUUGGCCGCCACUCGCGUGAGUCCUCUACCAGCAGGUUUUCUGGGUCGUUGAAACCGGGAUCCCGGAAGAUUUCUCCCAAUGAUGCGUCGAAAGGCGGGCAGAAAAAGGGACAGAAGCAAUGGAAAGACUGUGUGAUGAUUGAAGAAGAAGGACUUCUCGAAGAUGACGAGCGUGAAAGGGGUCUACCUCGUCGCUGCUACUUUCUUAUUUUUGUGUCGGGUUUCUUUGUUCUCUUCUCUAUGUUCUCUUUAAUUCUCUGGGGUGCCAGCAGGCCACAGAAGCCCAAGAUCACGAUGAAGGUACUUACUCUUAUCACAAUCUAAUAUUAAAUAUGAAAUUUCUCAUGAUUUCUUCUGAUUUUGCUUCAUUUGUUUGCAGAGUAUAACUUUUGAGCAUUUCAGCAUUCAAGCCGGCUCAGAUUACACAGGAGUGGCAACUGAUAUGAUCACAGUGAACUCCACAGUGAAGAUGAUCUAUCGCAACACUGGAACAUUUUUCGGAGUCCAUGUAACGUCUACACCUGUAGAUCUAUCCUAUUCUGAGAUCACCAUAGCCUCAGGAAAUCUAAAGAAAUUUUACCAAUCAAGGAAAAGCCAAAGAUCAGUAGCAAUAUCUGUAAUGGGCAAUAAAAUCCCUCUAUAUGGAAGUGGAGCAGGUCUGAGCAGCUCAACGGGAACGGCUACACUACCAGUGCCGCUAAAACUGAACUUCAUUGUCAGAUCAAGAGCUUACGUUUUGGGAAAACUGGUUAAGCCAAAAUUCUACAAGAGAAUCGAAUGUGAUGUUACUUUUGAUACAAAGAAGCUCAAUGUUCCAAUGUCACUCAAGAAUUCUUGCACAUAUGAUUGAUUGAUGAUAUGAACAGAGCAGAGCAGCCGCAUCAAGAUGAUGAAUUUUACAUAUUUAAUUUCCCCUUUAAUUCAUUGUUUGUUUCUUUUCGUGGAAAUGAGAAACAGCUGAGCAGAGCGGGCGGCUUUGAAGAUGGGUGGGCAAGGGGCUUUUCACCUUUUGGUUUCCCAAGUGCCCGUAGAAUUUGAAAACAGGCUGGAGUGGAUUCGGUAGUGACUUGCGAGCGAUAACUUUUCUUUUGUUCACUGUACUUUCUAUAUAUACUUAUGUUUUGUUUAUUAAUGUAAAAAGCAAUAAAUUAUUUACCUAGUUACUAUUAUUUGUGUAAUUUAAUCCAGC